GCCGGAGUGGCGAAAUCGGUAGACGCAGCAGACUCAAAAUCUGCCGAGGGAAACCUCGUACCGGUUCGAUUCCGGUCUCCGGCACCA
This 87-nucleotide transfer RNA is filed under the name Piscinibacter sp. Its description in RNAcentral is "tRNA-Leu". It matches the Rfam family "tRNA". Rfam says of the family: Transfer RNA (tRNA) molecules are approximately 80 nucleotides in length. Their secondary structure includes four short double-helical elements and three loops (D, anti-codon, and T loops). Lineage: Bacteria; Pseudomonadati; Pseudomonadota; Betaproteobacteria; Burkholderiales; Sphaerotilaceae. The record is from RNAcentral.